AGGAUUAACGCUGGCGGCGUGCCUAACACAUGCAAGUCGAACGAGGUAGCAAUACCUAGUGGCAGACGGGUGAGUAGCGCGUGGUCAACCUACCGUUGAGUGGGGGAUAACUAGCCGAAAGGUUAGCUAAUACCGCAUACGUCUCCGAGGGGCAUCCCUUGGUGAUAAAAGGAGCAAUCCGCUCGAUGACGGGACCGCGUCCCAUUAGCUAGUUGGUGGGGUAACGGCCUACCAAGGCAUCGAUGGGUAGCUGGUUUGAGAGAGCGACCAGCCACACUGGGACUGAGAUACGGCCCAGACUCCUACGGGAGGCAGCAGUGAGGAAUUUUCCGCAAUGGGCGAAAGCCUGACGGAGCGACGCCGCGUGUGGGAAGAAGGCCUUCGGGUCGUAACCACUGUCGAAGGGGAGAUAAUGACGGUACCCUUGGAGGAAGCCCCGGCUAACUACGCGCCAGCAGCCGC
This 462-nucleotide ribosomal RNA is filed under the name uncultured bacterium. Its description in RNAcentral is "SSU rRNA". It matches the Rfam family "Bacterial small subunit ribosomal RNA", at positions 26 to 518 of the family's 1533-position model. The record is from RNAcentral.